AGUGAACGCUGGCGGUAGGCCUAACACAUGCAAGUCGAACGGCAGCACAGUAAGAGCUUGCUCUUACGGGUGGCGAGUGGCGGACGGGUGAGGAAUACAUCGGAAUCUACUUUUUCGUGGGGGAUAACGUAGGGAAACUUACGCUCAUACCGCAUACGCCCUACGGGUGAAAGCAGGGGAUCUUCGGACCUUGCGCGAUUGAAUGAGCCGAUGUCGGAUUAGCUAGUUGGCGGGGUAAUGGCCCACCAAGGCGACGAUCCGUAGCUGGUCUGAGUGGAGGGUCAGCCACACUGGAACUGAGACACGGUCCAGACUCCUACGGGAGGCAGCAGUGGGGAAUAUUGGACAAUGGGCGCAAGCCUGAUCCAGCCAGACCGCGUGUGUGAAGAAGGCCUUCGGGUUGUAAAGCCCUUUUGUUGGGAAAGAAAAGCAGCAGGUUAAUACCCCGCUGUUCUGACGGUACCCAAAGAAUAAGCACCGGCUAACUUCGUG
RNAcentral lists this ribosomal RNA (492 nucleotides) under uncultured bacterium. RNAcentral's name for it is "partial 16S ribosomal RNA". It matches the Rfam family "Bacterial small subunit ribosomal RNA", at positions 29 to 507 of the family's 1533-position model. The record is from RNAcentral.